Molecule: ribosomal RNA, 429 nt
Filed under: Chloroflexota bacterium
Lineage: Bacteria; Bacillati; Chloroflexota
Description: Chloroflexi bacterium partial 16S ribosomal RNA
Rfam family: Bacterial small subunit ribosomal RNA
Source: RNAcentral
UGGGGAAUAUUGCACAAUGGGCGCAAGCCUGAUGCAGCCAUGCCGCGUGUGUGAAGAAGGCCUUCGGGUUGUAAAGCACUUUCAGCGGGGAGGAAGGCGGUGAAGUUAAUAACCUCAUCGAUCGACGUUACCCGCAGAAGAAGCACCGGCUAACUCCGUGCCAGCAGCCGCGGUAAUACGGAGGGUGCAAGCGUUACUCGGAAUUACUGGGCGUAAAGCGCACGCAGGCGGUCUGUCAAGUCGGAUGUGAAAUCCCCGGGCUCAACCUGGGAACUGCAUUCGAAACUGGCGGGCUAGAGUCUUGUAGAGGGGGGUAGAAUUCCAGGUGUAGCGGUGAAAUGCGUAGAGAUCUGGAGGAAUACCGGUGGCGAAGGCGGCCCCCUGGACAAAGACGGACGCUCAGGUGCGAAGGCGUGGGGAGCAAACAGG